CAUGUAGGCGGCAUGACAAGUCUGGUGUGAAAUAUCUCGGCUCAACCGAGAAAACGCACUGGAAACUGUCAAGCUUGAGUAUCGGAGGGGAAGCUAGAAUUCCUGGUGUAGGGGUGAAAUCUGUAGAUAUCAGGAAGAAUACCGGUGGCGAAGGCGAGCUUCUGGCCAGAUACUGACGCUGAGAUGCGAAAGCGUGGGGAGUAAACAGGAUUAGAUACCCUGGUAGUCC
Molecule: ribosomal RNA, 229 nt
Filed under: uncultured bacterium
Lineage: Bacteria
Description: partial 16S ribosomal RNA
Rfam family: Bacterial small subunit ribosomal RNA
Source: RNAcentral